Ananas comosus (pineapple) is the source of this 888-nucleotide long non-coding RNA. RefSeq lists it as uncharacterized. The record is from RefSeq and is a predicted model, not a curated record. The transcript has 3 exons. Lineage: Eukaryota; Viridiplantae; Streptophyta; Magnoliopsida; Poales; Bromeliaceae.
UUCUUACGUUAAGUUGAAAAAUUUUGCACUUUAUACUUACAUAUAAGUAGAUAAUUCUACAAGGGUAUAUAUGUAAAAUCUUUUUAUGCAAGCAUUCUUCUAUUUCUAUCGGUUAAAAUUUGCUCUUUAAAUUAUUAUUAACAUAAUUCAGGUAGAGUGCUUCCAAAGUAUACACUUUUAACUUUUGGGUCCUUGGAUUCAUAUAUCGUCUUCAAAUAAUAACCCUAAGCAUCCAAGAGUUAAAAAAAGUUGAAAUUAAUAAAGAAAGUUAAGUCCGACCUAAAUAUAGGCCCAAGGCCUGAUACUCAAUGGCCUUAAACCCAUUAGCAUGCAGUAUAUUUUGGCCAACGGAUGAAUGACAACUUAAUUUAAAAAUAUUAAAUAUAAAAAAAUAUUACUUUUAAAUUUUUAUUUUUUGUUGCCAAGCAAAUAGUUUCAAUGAAAGAAUUGCAAACAAUUUACCAUCCCCUCCUAUGUUAUUUUAUAUUUUUAGUGUCACGCCCCGAGACCCGCCUCUUUAGUCGGAUUCGGGCGCACCGACAGACCGCCGAACGGACAGAGUUUUUUCUGUACAUCCAAGGUGUCGCAACAGUACAAAUCACGAGGCUAUGCUGACCCGGGGUACUUCUACCUCUAGUCUCCGUGGUAGGACGCUAUCUAUCGAGCUACCCAUUUUCCUCGCGUCGCUGCGCCGCUCACAUGUGGACCUGAAAAACGUGGGAUGAGAACUAUAUAAAUAGUUCCUAGUGAGUACGGCCACCCAAGAGAAGAGCUCAACCCACCAGAAUGUUGAGACGUCAAAUCCGGGUCUCCCCACUCUAAGUCGGAACAAGGCUUCGAUCGCGACUUUGUUCUAUAUCUAUGAUCAUGUGGUUCGAAAUUCGAAAG